AUUAGGCCCAAUAAAGUUGAUCCCAUGUUCCCUGCACAUUUCAACAAAUACUGCAUUCUCAGCAAGGAAACCAUAUCCAGGGUGCAACAUUGUACAUCCACGACUUAUAGCAGCCGAUAAAACAUUUGGAAUCAAUAAGUACCUGUUGAAAUGCAAGUCAAAGUUAACCAUAGACAUUUUUCCAUUAUCAUCCAGAUGUGCAACACAAAUGUGCUUAAAAUUAAUUAAUGGGAAAAUAAAUGACUGUUCAAGCAGCAAAUUGCUUUGCCUACCUCAAAUAAAAAUGUAAAAAGUAAAGAAAUAUUUACAGAGAAAGAGAGAGUGCUUUCAGCAAGGGGUAAAGGAUAUAACUGGGGCAAUUUGUAAAGUAGCUAUGGGAACUUAACGCAAGAAAACUACUUCUCCAAUUGGAUCUGUAGUAAGAAGGCAGAGCUUAAUGAACAAGACAUCAAGUAAAAAGCAUACUAUAAUAAUUUAAGAGAACAAAAAAGAACUACAAUUUUUUGUCUAGAAUGGGGAAUAACUUAAAUUUCACUAUAGAGAUGUGAAAAAGACCUAGGAAACAAGAAGGAUUCAUAGAGUUAGUAAUUUUCCUCAACUUCUUUUAUCCAUGUGCAAUUCACAUGGUCAAUUUUUUCUCUAAUUAAAUGCUAAAGUGCACGACUCAACUAAGCCUUAAUCCUAACUAAGUGAGACAGCUAUAUGGGUCUUCUUCCUCCAUUCUGCUUAAUUUAGACAUACAUUCAUAUAGAGGUAUAUUGAUGCUGAAUCCUUCCUAACCACUUUCUCCCAUAUCAGGUUUACCUCUCCUCUUCUUCACUUGUGUUACUUAUGCAUGUAAGCUGCACAAAACUAUGGGAGAGAGCAAUGGAUCACAUGUUAAACUGCGGGGUGGUUGUCUUGUAGUAGCUCAAGCCUAUAUGCUAUAAAAACCGAUUUAUGUUCAAAAUAACAACUCUUUAAUGGGAAAUGUUUCAAUUAUAUUAGGAAAGUAUAGGAGACAUAUAGGGAUAAAAAAUCAAUUGAUGUCAAGAUUGAUUAAAUUAAAAGUGGGUACACAAGAGUUUUAGUAAUCAUUUGCUACCAGGUACAGUGUGGAAAAUCCCAACCACCACUAUUAUCAGAUUUUUGAGCUAAUCCAAUGUCAUAAAUGACAUUCAUAAAUUUAAUUACACUUCUUACCAUCUGUCAUUUUAUUCAGAUAUGUUUUAAUUUCUUAUAUAUCAUUUUAUUCAAUAUAUCCAAUUUUCUUAGGCAUAAUAAAACUACAGAGUUUUCUUCGAAAUUUCUAAAAGGCUUUUUGCCUGUCAUAACAAGGCAUUUCUUGUUUCUAUUCCCAUCAAUUAUAACCUAACCAUCAAUAAUAAGUAAUUAAUUCCAAGUACAGAAAUCAUUUCAAAAUGUUCAUAUUAUAUUAGAAAUUCCAACAGUCAAAAAGUAAUGUGGUAAACACAUAGAAAGGUUAUCACCAGGAUAUCAUAACAAGUGGACAAAGAAAACUGAAAAUUAUUUGUAAAAUACCAUUUGCUAUGGAGUUCAAUAUAGGUGUAGUCAAGAUUAUUCCACUAGAUCCUUAAGACCAGAUUAUGGAACCACACAUCUUAUAUGCUUAAGGAGGCUCAAAUCUAAUUGUUUUCUGUCCAUACUUUUUUAUCUCUUUUCAUAACCCAAGUGAUUCAACAUUUCACACUUUGUUUCCCUAUAAACUAUUGCAACAAAUUAAAAGCUCCAACCUGUGAUCUCUACCCAAGCACCCACCAAUCAACUACCUGAGGAAAAACCUGGGUGGCAGGUUAUGACUUCAUCAUAAGAAAAUUAUUAAAUAUGGGAUAUUAGACAUGGGAAA
This 1846-nucleotide unclassified non-coding RNA is filed under the name Hevea brasiliensis (rubber tree). Lineage: Eukaryota; Viridiplantae; Streptophyta; Magnoliopsida; Malpighiales; Euphorbiaceae. The record is from RNAcentral.